Molecule: ribosomal RNA, 1121 nt
Filed under: Candidatus Parcubacteria bacterium
Lineage: Bacteria; Candidatus Parcubacteria
Description: partial 23S ribosomal RNA
Rfam family: Bacterial large subunit ribosomal RNA
Source: RNAcentral
CUAAGCGUCCAUAGCGACGGCGCAGUUCGGCACCUCGAUGUCGGCUCAACUUAUCCUGGAGGUGAAGAAGCUUCCAAGGGUUUGGCUGUUCGCCAAUUAAAAAGUUACGCGAGCUGGGUUCAGACCGUUUAGAGUACGAGUAAUCGCACUUUGAACAGUCUGAAUCCCUAGGACAAAGAGGGAAUUGAGUUCGACCAAUCACGGCGGCCACAUAUAGCGAUACAUGUGGAAAAGUCAGCUGAUAUCGGUGGAGUCCUAACCCAACAAAUGUUAGGAUAAUACCGAGGGACUCAUGAAAAAUCUUUCGUCAGAAAAGAAAUCUUAUCUUGCUGGUUUCCUUGAUGGAGACGGAAGCAUCUAUGUGCGUUUGAAACCGAACUCUACGUAUAGAUUCGGGUAUCAAAUGAUCGCAUACGUCGCUUUCUUCCAGUCAGGGAAACACAGAGAAGAGUUUGAGAAAGUAUGUAAGUUGAUGCCGUAUGGCCUAAUGAGGGCUAGGAAGGACGGAAUACUUGAAUACACAAUCUCGAAACAAGAAGAAAUUAUAGAAUUUCUCUUGAACAUCAAAGAUUUUCUUGUCAUGAAGAAGCCACAAGCAGAAUUAGUGCUUGAGGUAAUGAAACUUCGACAAGACAUCAAUGAUAAAAAAGAUUUCCAGAUUCUGAUGAAUAAAAUCGAGACUUUUAGAGAGUUAAAUUACUCAAAGAAAAGGAAAACUCGAAUCAUGAACCCGUAGAGACUACAUGCUGAACAUCUCGAUAAAACGAGAUGAAUAUAUAGUCCAUUCCUUACAGUAAUGUGAGAAAAGAAGCGUGAGACAGGUUGGACUCCUAUCUACUGCAGGCGUUCGAUUCUUGAGGGGAUUUGCUCCUAGUACGAGAGGACCGGAGUGAACCGACCGCUGGUGUGCCUGCUCUCCUGCCAAGGGGACCGCAGGGUAGCUAAGUCGGGAAAGGAUAAAUUCUGAAAGCAUCUAAGAAUGAAGCCAACCCCAAGAUUAUGAAUCGUGGCCCCUUCGGGGGCGAUAGGGCCCUGGGAGAUGACCAGGUUGAUAGGUAUUAGGUGUAAGCGCGGCAACGCGUUGAGCCGAGAUAUACUAAUUGCCCGAAUUCCUAUUAGGA